Penaeus indicus is the source of this 181-nucleotide long non-coding RNA. RefSeq lists it as uncharacterized. Lineage: Eukaryota; Metazoa; Arthropoda; Malacostraca; Decapoda; Penaeidae. The record is from RefSeq and is a predicted model, not a curated record. The transcript has 2 exons.
GGCAGACGACAAUUAACCAUGAAAUGAGUCUAGAUGCGCGAACAUCUCCUGGCGCACGACCUUGUUUGGAUAAAUAAGAUUGCCCAUUUUUACGUGUAUUUGUGUUGAACUUUUAUUUUUCCGGAGGUUUUAUUUAAUUGUGUUCUCGCUUUUGUUUUAAAUAAUAAUAGUAUUGAGCUUU